UGGUUUUGGGGAGACACAUAUGGGUGUCUACAACCACAAUCUAGGCUCCAAGAGUUAUGAGAGGGCUCGAGUUGAUUGGAGUAAGACCAAUAGAAUUCCAGCAGAAUCUUCAACCUCAAGCACCACAGAGUCCACGACAAGCUGUGUAAUGAGUGAAAAGCUUAAAAAUCGGUCUCUUUAUUGGAUUUUGGCCCGUCAAAAUCGUAAUGCAGAUGGAUCGUGGGCUAUAGACCCGAAGAAUGCCGAAACCCAGCAAAUAGCCAAUGCUAUUUUGGAAAACUUGCAAAAGAAUGAUGAAGGAAACAAUUCAAGUGAUGGUAUUGGUAUGGAUGCCCUCGACAAGGCUUUAGGAAAAAAGGAUCACCGCGGGCAUGUAAAAGCACUAGGAAGGUAUGAGGUUGGAGUUAGACACACACAAGUAUUUGGGAAGGGAUGCAAAAAGGGUAAAUCAUCCGGCCAAGGUGGAUGCUCAUUAGAAGACUUAGAAUCAAUGAAAGCUACCGUAACUCAAGAAUUUGAGGCGAGGCUAGAAGAAAAGGUUGAAGAGAAGCUUCAAGAGAGGAUUGAAGAGAGGAUCGAAGAGAGGUUGGAACAACGGGUGGCAAUGGAGGUGAAAGCUUAUCUCGCCAAUUUACUACCACAGAUAACCGGUGACGUGGAGGCAUUUCAAGGAAUGCAAGUGAUGACGAACAUGGAGGCAACACAAAGCCCUCGUGUAAUAGAGGUAGCCACUAAAUGUCGCCUAGCAUUGAAAGAUGAGUACAAUCAAAAUUUAGUGGUUGUGGCAGAUGGAACGGUAUACCCUGUUACCGGUGAAGUUACUCACAACUUGAAGAUGUUACCUGAUCAUUACAGGGUUAGUGUGGACAACCCUUAUCCCGAUCGUGCCCUCCUCGAUAUACCGGUACCGUCUCCCGAUGGUGUGACUAAGUUGGGAAAAGCCAAGUCUUCCUUUGUACUAUGGCCUAUAAACAUGGUUUUUUUUGAAGAAGAGGUUUCACCAUCGCCCAAAAAGAAGCAUAGAUCUCGCCAAAGCAAAGAAGGGGACGAUAGUUGUGGUGUGAAAUCAAGGCAAUCUACCAUCAAACAAAAUUCCUACCACUUGAAGAUAAAACUGUCGAUACUUUUGGCAAGGGAUCGACAAACAGAUUUGGGUAACCGCUACCGAUGUACGUGAAUUUCUAAGAGGAUCGUGGGCUAAUGUUUCAUUGAUUCAUGUUUAUAUCAUGUAUUUAGUAGACAACUUCAUCGACCUUUUCAACAGGACUGAGAUCACGUUCUUUUGUCCUCAACUCAUUUCUGAAUCUUCAAUUGAGAAUGAUUACCUUGAAA
This is an RNA transcript of Chenopodium quinoa (quinoa), 1332 nucleotides long. RefSeq lists it as uncharacterized. The record is from RefSeq and is a predicted model, not a curated record. Lineage: Eukaryota; Viridiplantae; Streptophyta; Magnoliopsida; Caryophyllales; Amaranthaceae. The transcript has 6 exons.